AUAUGGUUGUGAAGUGUGGG
RNAcentral lists this unclassified non-coding RNA (20 nucleotides) under Chlamydomonas reinhardtii. Its description in RNAcentral is "small RNA Cre_0671". Lineage: Eukaryota; Viridiplantae; Chlorophyta; Chlorophyceae; Chlamydomonadales; Chlamydomonadaceae. The record is from RNAcentral.